This 681-nucleotide ribosomal RNA is filed under the name uncultured Pseudomonadota bacterium. RNAcentral's name for it is "bacterial SSU rRNA". It matches the Rfam family "Bacterial small subunit ribosomal RNA", at positions 54 to 724 of the family's 1533-position model. The record is from RNAcentral. Lineage: Bacteria; Pseudomonadati; Pseudomonadota.
CAUGCAAGUCGAACGGUAACAGGAAGAAGCUUGCUUCUUUGCUGACGAGUGGCGGACGGGUGAGUAAUGUCUGGGAAACUGCCUGAUGGAGGGGGAUAACUACUGGAAACGGUAGCUAAUACCGCAUAACGUCGCAAGACCAAAGAGGGGGACCUUCGGGCCUCUUGCCAUCGGAUGUGCCCAGAUGGGAUUAGCUAGUAGGUGGGGUAACGGCUCACCUAGGCGACGAUCCCUAGCUGGUCUGAGAGGAUGACCAGCCACACUGGAACUGAGACACGGUCCAGACUCCUACGGGAGGCAGCAGUGGGGAAUAUUGCACAAUGGGCGCAAGCCUGAUGCAGCCAUGCCGCGUGUAUGAAGAAGGCCUUAGGGUUGUAAAGUACUUUCAGCGGGGAGGAAGGGAGUAAAGUUAAUACCUUUGCUCAUUGACGUUACCCGCAGAAGAAGCACCGGCUAACUCCGUGCCAGCAGCCGCGGUAAUACGGAGGGUGCAAGCGUUAAUCGGAAUUACUGGGCGUAAAGCGCACGCAGGCGGUUUGUUAAGUCAGAUGUGAAAUCCCCGGGCUCAACCUGGGAACUGCAUCUGAUACUGGCAAGCUUGAGUCUCGUAGAGGGGGGUAGAAUUCCAGGUGUAGCGGUGAAAUGCGUAGAGAUCUGGAGGAAUACCGGUGGCGAAGGCGG